AAAGUGUGUUUGUUGUUGGUAUGUCCCUCAAUCACGUCGCAACGGAGCAACAGAUCGACGUGAUGUUUUGUGUGGGUAUAGUUAAAGGCCUGGAAAGUCACAUAGGCCACUUAUUAUCCCAGAAAAUCAAAGAGUUCCCACGGGAUUUUUAAACCUAAAUCCGCGCGGACGAAGUCACGGGCAUCGGCUAGUUUGUUAUAAAUAAA
This is a long non-coding RNA of Maniola jurtina (meadow brown), 206 nucleotides long. RefSeq lists it as uncharacterized. The record is from RefSeq and is a predicted model, not a curated record. The transcript has 3 exons. NCBI's taxonomy places the organism in Eukaryota, Metazoa, Arthropoda, Insecta, Lepidoptera, Nymphalidae.